Molecule: ribosomal RNA, 253 nt
Filed under: uncultured bacterium
Lineage: Bacteria
Description: partial 16S ribosomal RNA
Rfam family: Bacterial small subunit ribosomal RNA
Source: RNAcentral
UACAGGGGGGGCAAGCGUUGUUCGGAAUUACUGGGCGUAAAGGGCCAGUAGGCGGCCAACUAAGUCCGACGUGAAAUCCCCAGGCUUAACCUGGGAACUGCGUCGGAUACUGGAUGGCUUGAAUUCGGGAGAGGGAUGCAGAAUUCCAGGUGUAGCGGUGAAAUGCGUAGAUAUCUGGAGGAAUACCGGUGGCGAAGGCGGCAUCCUGGACCGACAUUGACGCUGAACGGCGAAGGCUAGGGGAGCAAACGGG